UCAUCCUUUUGCUGAUAGGUCUGCCCUAGCUGUAAAAUGCCUGCUUUAAAUUUUUAAUGUCUAACUUAUCCACUCAAAUUAUAGUCCAUGCACUCUAACAUCUCAUGGAUGAAAACCAGGGCACACACAGACAAGCAACAUCAGAGUGUGGUCAAAGUUAUUAAUGGGGAAGAAUAGACAAGUUAGGAGAGGCGGCAACAAUUUUCUAUUGCCUCAGUCCACUGUUUAGGAACAAAAUUCUGCCAUCAGCUUUUGUGGAGUUGACCAAGUGAAAAUUCUUUUAGCACUUUGCACUCAGGCCCCCAUUUACACUGCCAUUAUAAUGCAGAUUGAACUGAAUUAUAUGGCAACGUAGAUGGGGCCUCAAUUUGCAGAAAUUGAAGAAAGUUAAGAAGAAAGAGGGAAAGUGAAAGGUGGACAGAGAAACUGGGACAUUUUUAAAACAACUGAAAAGUAGGAUUAAUAAUCAGAACUGCCCCUGUCAAAUAAUGGUUGGUGAGUAUGAAUGUUUCUAGUUAAGGUAGGAAGCAAGAAAUUAACAUACUUUUCCCUAUACUUUUCCAUAACAUUUUUGCUUUCUUAAACCGGUGUUCAUGACUAUCUGUACCAAAUGCUUUAAUUUAGGCUUACCAUGAACCUCUAUGGAAUAGACUAGGCUAAAGCAACAUUAAUUACAUAGACCACUCCACAUUAGACAUGCUGGGGACUCUUGCCAGGUCACAUUAUCUAGCGGGGACUAGAGGGAAACAUUAGCACAGGCAUGCUUCUUUUAUACUGUUAUUUUUAUGUGAAAUACUUCCAGGAUUUUAAUACAGAUACUGUGUAUGUGUUGACUUCUGCUUUCUAAAUUCAUAGUGCAUGAGGCUGCCUAGAGGGCACUGUGUUUGGUAAAAUGUUUUACUAUAGCAGGAAAAGGCAUUUACAAAGGUAAUCUCUGAUUUGUUUAUAAAGUAUAUUUAAAAUAAAAUUCAAUAGGCUUAUUCUUUUUUUAUUUUAGGAGACUAAUGGCCUAGUUACCAGAGGCCCCGUGUUCCUCAUGAAACACAAAGAGAAGAACAAGCCUAAACAUGGUCAAAAAGAAUGCAAGCAAGUCAAGGAGACCAGCACCCAAGAAAACA
Long non-coding RNA from Anolis carolinensis (green anole), 1118 nucleotides. RefSeq lists it as uncharacterized. The record is from RefSeq and is a predicted model, not a curated record. Lineage: Eukaryota; Metazoa; Chordata; Lepidosauria; Squamata; Anolidae. The transcript has 2 exons.